RNAcentral lists this ribosomal RNA (119 nucleotides) under Meriones unguiculatus (Mongolian gerbil). The record is from RNAcentral. Lineage: Eukaryota; Metazoa; Chordata; Mammalia; Rodentia; Muridae.
GUCUACGGCUACACCACCCUGAACACGCCCCAUCUUGUUUGAUCUUGAAAGCUAAGCAGGGUCAGAUCUGGUUAGUGCGUGGAUGGGAGACCGCCUGGGAAUACCGGGUGCUUUGGCUU